AGGAUCCGGGUUUGGAAGCUCCAUGAGAUGAAUCAUACCAGGACCAACCCACAACCAUGCUCCACGAUACGAGCACAUACUGGGAAAUAAUUGAACACUCACCUAAGACACCGCAGUAGAAUUCCAGCGACUUUUCCAGAUUGCUGCAAAGGAACCCAACAUGAUGCAAGUCUAUGUACUCAAUUGCUACACAGAGACAAGGAGAUGGCAAGAGUCAGAACAAGCUAGCUAUUAAUCAACCGCUUUUCGAGGACGAAUCCUUAGUCUUUUGUGAUACGACACUCUGAAUUGCUGGUGAUUGGAGCUGCUGGAUUUAAAGCAAUGGGUGAACACACAGACGAUAGAGGAUACGAUGGG
Molecule: long non-coding RNA, 357 nt
Organism: Selaginella moellendorffii
Lineage: Eukaryota; Viridiplantae; Streptophyta; Lycopodiopsida; Selaginellales; Selaginellaceae
Exons: 3
Source: RefSeq, a predicted model, not a curated record